This 484-nucleotide ribosomal RNA is filed under the name uncultured bacterium. RNAcentral describes it as "partial 16S ribosomal RNA". It matches the Rfam family "Bacterial small subunit ribosomal RNA", at positions 29 to 507 of the family's 1533-position model. The record is from RNAcentral.
AUUGAGCGCUGGCGGCAUGCUUUACACAUGCAAGUCGAACGGCAGCGCGGGCUUCGGCCUGGCGGCGAGUGGCGAGCGGGUGAGUAAUACAUCGGAACGUGCCCAGUAGUGGGGGAUAGCUCGGCGAAAGCCGGAUUAAUACCGCAUACGACCUGAGGGUGAAAGCGGGGGAUCUUCGGACCUCGCGCUAUUGGAGCGGCCGAUGGCAGAUUAGCUAGUUGGUGGGGUAAAGGCCUACCAAGGCGACGAUCUGUAGCUGGUCUGAGAGGACGACCAGCCACACUGGGACUGAGACACGGCCCAGACUCCUACGGGAGGCAGCAGUGGGGAAUUUUGGACAAUGGGCGAAAGCCUGAUCCAGCAAUGCCGCGUGUGUGAUGAAGGCCUUCGGGUUGUAAAGCACUUUUGGCGGGAACGAAAAGGACUGUGCCAAUACCACGGUUCGAUGACGGUACCCGCAGAAUAAGCACCGGCUAACUACGUG